Pyrus x bretschneideri (Chinese white pear) is the source of this 1930-nucleotide RNA transcript. RefSeq lists it as uncharacterized. Lineage: Eukaryota; Viridiplantae; Streptophyta; Magnoliopsida; Rosales; Rosaceae. The transcript is spliced from 3 exons. The record is from RefSeq and is a predicted model, not a curated record.
AUGGUUUCUAAGGCAUCGAAAUAUACGUCCCCCGAAUUUGUGGUUUCCUGAUCAUAAAUGUUCUUAGAAGCCCAAAAUUGUAGCCUGAGCGCGCGGCACUCUCGAUUGAUUCCAUGGUCUGGUCUUCUGCGAAUCGCAAUCCGACGGUGGCGAUGGCAUCGGCGCAGAACCAAUCGGCAAUGUGGAUCUCUUCGACGAAUAUUUCCAACGAGCCGAUUUGGACCGCAAUGGCCGGAUUAGUGGCAAUGACGCUAUGGCUUUCUUCCAAGGCUCCGGUCUCCCCAAACAGGUCCUUGCUAAGAUAUGCACAUGCAGACCAGAGGGAGACUGGUUUACUUGGCCGGGCAGAGUUUUACAAUGCCCUUAGACUAGACACUGUGGCACAAAGUGAGAGAGAACUUACGCUAGAAAUGUUGAAGGCAUCAUUAUAUGGCCCGGCUGCAGCUAAAAUACCUGCACCCAAGAUAAAUCUUGCAGCAACUCCUGCCCCUCAGUUCAAUUCUGCUGCAGCAGCACCUGCCACCCAGGGUGGUGCUGUGACUCCGACAUCCUCGUAAAAUCUUGGGUUUAGGGGACCGCAAGUACCACCUCAGUAUAGUUCUUUUGGAGAAGCACCUGCCACUCGGGGUGGUGCUGUCACUCCAACAUCCUCCCAAAAUCUUGGGUUCAGGGACCACAAAUACAAUCUCAGUGUAAUUCUGCUCCAACAGCUCAUGAGGGUGGUGCUGUUACUCUAACAUCCUCCCAUAAUCUUGGGUUCAGGGUAUUACCUCCAAGUGUGAGUGUGAACCAGAAAAUUUUCAUUUCUCAAGAUGGCAAGUCAUUUAGGUCUCCAGUGCCUCCAUCUAGUCCUGAUUCCCAGCCCACACAGGGUGUUGCUGCCCAAAGCUUUCCCGGGGGAGGUUCAGUGGGUGGUCCUCAACCACAAAACUCAAGCAUGGUGAACGAUUAGGUUAGUGGAAGGGCAGAUGGUGCAACGACCUUGAUACCCUCGCAAGUUGUAAACAAAAGGAUCACUCCUGCAACAGAGGAUGUAUUUGGGCUGGAAACAUCAGGGCCAACAGCUUCCCUACCAACUAGGCCACAGGCAGGUUCUAGGAUCAGACCACCAGGACCACUGGCUAAGGAUUCCAAACCAUCAAAUAUAUCUGGGAAUGGCUAUGCUCCCGACUCAUCUUUUGGAGAUGAUGUGUUUUCUACAACCCCACCUCAACCAAAGCAGAAUUUUCCUCCUGGCAGCAUACCCGUCUCUUCAACCAUUGCGCCAGUAUUUGGUGGAACCCAGUCUUCAACUAGCCCAAGUACCCAGGUUGAUGGCUAGCCUCAGCAGGCCCAGUCAUUUGCAAAAGCCAACCAGCAGGCCUCAGCUCAGACUAGUGCUACUGGAGUUUCACCUAGAGCUGGGAACUCUGCUUCUAGUCAGUCCCAUAUAUCAUGGCCUAGGAUGACUCAAACUGAUGUUCAAAAGUACACCAAUAUUUUUGUGAAAGUUGACACAAACAGAGACCUGCAUCUGGUAUUCAUCCAUCAGACAAAAUUGAAUAAACAUCUUGUAAAUCAAAUGCGUACAGAGGAGGUUAACUCGCUGAGCUCAAAGUUCAAAGAAGCAACCGAAGCUGAUAAAAAGUACCAUUGAAGCACGGACCCCAAUUUUUCUUUGCUGAUCUUUGCUUGGUUCAAACAAGAACACUGAGUUUUGCCGGUGUUAGUCCAAUCAGACCAUUCAUAUUUAUCGCUCAUUGCAGUUCAGCCAUCAAACUAUUGCAUAUUUUUGUUGUGUCGAAUGUUCAAACUAUUGUUUAAUUUCUAAGUUUAUGAUAUAAAGGCAAAUUUCAAGAUCCGCUGGACUUGUAAAUCAAGUUUUGUCCAUAACUUGUGCUUUAUAAUGUAUAAACAAUACUAAGAUAAUAAAACCCUUGCCUGUUAAUCA